RNAcentral lists this non-coding RNA (31 nucleotides) under Homo sapiens (human). Lineage: Eukaryota; Metazoa; Chordata; Mammalia; Primates; Hominidae. The record is from RNAcentral.
UGAUAGGGAAACAGAUUGUGUUCUUGCCUGU